Molecule: ribosomal RNA, 407 nt
Filed under: uncultured bacterium
Lineage: Bacteria
Description: partial 16S ribosomal RNA
Rfam family: Bacterial small subunit ribosomal RNA
Source: RNAcentral
GACGAACGCUGGCGGCGUGCCUAAUACAUGCAAGUAGGACGCAGUUGCGAACGGGUGAGUAACGCGUAGGUAACUGCCUAUUAGAGGGGGAUAACUAUUGGAAACGAUAGCUAAUACCGCAUACUAGUAGAUGGACCUGCGUUGUAUUAGCUAGUAGGUAGGGUAAUGGCCUACCUAGGCAACGAUACAUAGCCGACCUGAGGAGGUGAUCGGGCAAACCGGGACUGAGACACUGCCCAGAAUCCGACGGGAGGCAACAGUAGGGAAUCUUCGGAAAUGGGGGGAACCCUGACCGAGCAACGCCGGGGGAGUGAAGAAGGUUUUCGGAUCGUAAAGGUCUGUUGUGAAGGAAGCGGUACUUAACCAGAAAGGGACGGCUAACUUCGUGCCAGCAGCCGCGGUAAUAC